AAACGCGCCGAACCCUUUAUAAAAUGCUCUUUACGGGUCGUCGGGCUCGCGAACGUAGAGCCUCCUCCUCCUCUUCCUCCUUAGGGCGUCGUCGUCGGUGAUCUCGUCGCCAUGGAUCCUUACAAGUACCGUCCUUCGAGCGCCUUCAACUCCCCUUUCUGGACCACCAAUUCCGGCGCCCCGGUUUGGAACAACAACAACUCCCUCACCGUCGGGUCCCGAGGGCCUAUUCUUCUCGAGGACUACCAUCUCGUUGAAAAGCUUGCCCAGUUCGACAGGGAACGCAUUCCAGAACGUGUUGUUCACGCCAGAGGAGCGAGCGCAAAGGGCUUCUUCGAGGUCACGCAUGACAUCUCUCACCUCACCUGUGCUGAUUUCCUUCGGGCGCCUGGGGUCCAGACCCCAGUCAUUGUUCGCUUCUCGACUGUCAUUCAUGAGCGCGGCAGCCCUGAAACCCUAAGAGACCCACGAGGUUUCGCUGUUAAGUUUUACACCAGAGAGGGAAACUUUGAUCUUGUUGGGAACAACUUCCCCGUAUUCUUCAUCCGUGACGGGAUGAAGUUCCCCGACAUGGUUCAUGCCCUCAAACCGAAUCCCAAAUCCCACAUCCAGGAGAACUGGCGGAUCGUUGACUUCUUCUCCCACCACCCUGAGAGCCUGCACAUGUUCACCUUCCUCUUCGACGAUAUCGGCAUCCCUACCGACUACCGCCACAUGGAUGGCUCUGGCGUUAACACCUACACCCUCAUCAACAAGGAAGGCAAAGCCCACUAUGUCAAGUUCCACUGGAAACCCACUUGCGGCGUUAAGAGUUUAUUGGACGAUGAGGCCGUGAUUGUUGGAGGGACUAACCAUAGCCACGCAACUAAGGAUCUUUACGAUUCUAUCGCAGCCGGAAAUUAUCCUGAAUGGAAACUUUAUAUUCAGAUUAUUGAUCCGGAUUAUGAAGAUCGGUUCGAUUUUGACCCACUUGAUGUGACCAAGACAUGGCCUGAGGAUAUCUUGCCUCUCCAGCCAGUGGGGCGAUUGGUGCUGAACAGGAACAUCGAUAACUUCUUUGCUGAGAAUGAACAGCUCGCCUUCUGUCCGGCUAUUGUGGUGCCUGGGAUAUACUAUUCGGAUGAUAAGCUGCUCCAGACUAGGAUAUUCUCUUAUGCUGAUACUCAGAGGCACCGUCUUGGGCCGAACUAUCUAAUGCUUCCUGCGAAUGCUCCCAAAUGCGCUCACCACAAUAACCAUUACGAUGGCUUCAUGAAUUUCAUGCACAGGGAUGAGGAGGUAGAUUAUUUCCCUUCAAGGUAUGAUCCUGCUCGGCAUGCGGAGAGGUUCCCUAUCCCACCACGCAUUCUGACUGGAAGACGUGAGAAGUGUGUAAUUGAAAAGGAGAACAAUUUCAAGCAGCCUGGAGAGAGAUACCGCUCUUUUGAUCCUGCCAGGCAAGAGAGAUUCAUUAAGAGAUGGGUUGAUGCAUUGUCUGACCCUAGAGUCACCCAUGAAAUCAGGAGCAUUUGGAUAUCUUACUGGUCUCAGUGUGACAAGUCCCUCGGUCAGAAGCUCGCAACCCGUCUCAACCUCAAACCAAGCAUGUAAGUUGGCAAUGAAGGCCGAGUCAAUGCAUGCAGCGGAGAAUUACCCAGAAGGUGCCCUGGUUUGUGCAGGAAAAUUGAGUGUUAAUCAUACUAUGGACAUCUGAGUUUACUAAAAGAACUUCUGAUUAAAGGCUUGCUUCAUAGCAUAACAUGGAAGGAUUAUUGAGAACAAUGAUGGUAUUUUUAGUCCUUUAUCCAUGGAUUUGCUUGAGCUUGGGAUAUUAUUUCGAAAUGAAAAAAAAAAAAACUAGAAUGGAAUGUUGGUGUUCGUUUAUUAAACUAGGUACAUGUUGUUUGAUAAGUAAGAGGGGACUGGCCUUUGAAUGUGUUUAAGCUCAAAAGAGUAAAUAAAGGGACCAUAAUAUACAAAAUAUGAUUGCAGGCAA
Ananas comosus (pineapple) is the source of this 1975-nucleotide RNA transcript. It is a transcript of the gene named catalase-1, with no coding region annotated. The record is from RefSeq and is a predicted model, not a curated record. Lineage: Eukaryota; Viridiplantae; Streptophyta; Magnoliopsida; Poales; Bromeliaceae. The transcript has 9 exons.